This 84-nucleotide transfer RNA is filed under the name Vibrio vulnificus. RNAcentral's name for it is "tRNA-Leu". It matches the Rfam family "tRNA". From Rfam's summary of the family: Transfer RNA (tRNA) molecules are approximately 80 nucleotides in length. Their secondary structure includes four short double-helical elements and three loops (D, anti-codon, and T loops). The record is from RNAcentral. Lineage: Bacteria; Pseudomonadati; Pseudomonadota; Gammaproteobacteria; Vibrionales; Vibrionaceae.
CGGAAGUGGCGAAAUUGGUAGACGCACCAGAUUUAGGUUCUGGCGCCGCAAGGUGUGAGAGUUCGAGUCUCUCCUUCCGCACCA